This 91-nucleotide transfer RNA is filed under the name Candidatus Borkfalkia excrementigallinarum. Its description in RNAcentral is "tRNA-Ser". It matches the Rfam family "tRNA". Rfam says of the family: Transfer RNA (tRNA) molecules are approximately 80 nucleotides in length. Their secondary structure includes four short double-helical elements and three loops (D, anti-codon, and T loops). Lineage: Bacteria; Bacillati; Bacillota; Clostridia; Christensenellales; Christensenellaceae. The record is from RNAcentral.
GCGGUGAUACCCAAGAGGCUCAAGGGGCGCCCCUGCUAAGGGCGUAGUACGGGAAACUGUAGCGAGGGUUCGAAUCCCUCUCGCCGCGCCA